UACGUAGGGGGCAAGCGUUAUCCGGAUUUACUGGGUGUAAAGGGUGCGUAGGUGGCAGGGCAAGUCAGAUGUGAAAGCCCGGGGCCCAACCCCGGUACUGCAUUCGAAACUAUCCGGCUGGAGUGCAGGAGAGGUAAGCGGAAUUCCUAGUGUAGCGGUGAAAUGCGUAGAUAUUAGGAGGAACACCAGUGGCGAAGGCGGCUUACUGGACUGUAACUGACACUGAGGCACGAAAGCGUGGGUAUCGAACA
This 251-nucleotide ribosomal RNA is filed under the name uncultured bacterium. RNAcentral describes it as "partial 16S ribosomal RNA". It matches the Rfam family "Bacterial small subunit ribosomal RNA", at positions 524 to 774 of the family's 1533-position model. The record is from RNAcentral.